This 1499-nucleotide ribosomal RNA is filed under the name uncultured bacterium. RNAcentral's name for it is "bacterial SSU rRNA". It matches the Rfam family "Bacterial small subunit ribosomal RNA". The record is from RNAcentral.
UGGUUUGAUUCUGGCUCAGGAUGAACGCUGGCGGCAUGCCUAAUACAUGCAAGUCGAACGGAGUGAAGCCUUCGGGUUUCAUUCAGUGGCGAACGGGUGAGUAAUACGCAGGGAACCUGGCCAUGGCAGGGGGAUACACUCUGGAAACGGAGCAUAAGACCCCAUAGGCAGUAAGGCGGCAUCGCCUUGCUGUUAAAGAAAGCUGAAAGGCUUUGGCGAUGGAUGGACCUGCGGUGCAUUAGCUUGUUGGUGAGGCAACGGCUUACCAAGGCGAUGAUGCAUAGCCGGCCUGAGAGGGCGGACGGCCACACUGGGACUGAGACACGGCCCAGACUCCUGCGGGAGGCAGCAGUAGGGAAUUUUCGUCAAUGGGCGCAAGCCUGAACGAGCAAUGCCGCGUGAGUGAGGAAGGUCUUCGGACUGUAAAGCUCUGUUGCCGGGGAAAAAGGGGAAAUGCAGGAAAUGGCAUUUCAUGGAUGGUACCCGGCCAGAAAGCCACGGCUAACUACGUGCCAGCAGCCGCGGUAAUACGUAGGUGGCGAGCGUUAUCCGGAAUGAUUGGGCGUAAAGGGUGCGCAGGCGGUCUGUUAAGUCUGAAGGCAAAGGGAUGAGCUCAACUCAUUUAUGAUUCAGAAACUGGCAGACUUGAGGACAGGAGAGGGCGGUGGAACUCCAUGUGUAGCGGUAAAAUGCGCAGAGAUAUGGAAGAACACCAGUGGCGAAGGCGGCCGCCUGGCCUGUGACUGACGCUGAGGCACGAAAGCGUGGGGAGCAAAUAGGAUUAGAUACCCUAGUAGUCCACGCCGUAAACGAUGAGGAGCAGGUGUUGGGAGUGAAAUCUCAGUGCCGAAGCCAACGCAGUGACUCCUCCGCCUGGGGAGUAUGCACGCAAGUGUGAAACUCAAAGGAAUUGACGGGGGCCCGCACAAGCGGUGGAGUAUGUGGUUUAAUUCGAAGCAACGCGAAGAACCUUACCAGGUUUUGACAUCGGAUGCGAAGGCGCAGAGAUGCGCUGGAGGCUAUCAUCCAGACAGGUGGUGCAUGGUUGUCGUCAGCUCGUGUCGUGAGAUGUUCAGUUAAGUCUGGCAACGAGCGCAACCCCCGUGGUAUGUUACUAACGCAUUUGGGCGAGGACUCAUAUCAGACUGCCGGUGACAAACCGGAGGAAGGCGGGGAUGACGUCAAAUCAUCAUGCCCCUUAUGGCCUGGGCUACACACGUACUACAAUGGCGUCUACAGAGGGAAGCGACCCUGAGAAGGGAAGCGAAACCGGAAAAGGGCGUCCCAGUUCGGAUUGAAGUCUGCAACCCGACUUCAUGAAGAUGGAAUCGCUAGUAAUCGCGGAUCAGCAUGCCGCGGUGAAUACGUUCCCGGGCCUUGUACACACCGCCCGUCAAACCAUGGAAGCCGGCAACGCCCGAAGCCGGUGGCAUAACCUUUUAGGAGUGAGCCGUCGAAGGCGGGGCCGAUGACUGGGGUUAAGUCGUAACAAGGUACCC